Molecule: ribosomal RNA, 253 nt
Filed under: uncultured bacterium
Lineage: Bacteria
Description: partial 16S ribosomal RNA
Rfam family: Bacterial small subunit ribosomal RNA
Source: RNAcentral
UACGGGGGGGGCAAGCGUUGUUCGGAAUUACUGGGCGUAAAGGGCUCGUAGGCGGCCAACUAAGUCAGACGUGAAAUCCCUCGGCUUAACCGGGGAACUGCGUCUGAUACUGGAUGGCUUGAGUUUGGGAGAGGGAUGCGGAAUUCCAGGUGUAGCGGUGAAAUGCGUAGAUAUCUGGAGGAACACCGGUGGCGAAGGCGGCAACCUGGACCAACACUGACGCUGAGGAGCGAAAGCCAGGGGAGCAAACGGG